This 328-nucleotide ribosomal RNA is filed under the name uncultured bacterium. RNAcentral's name for it is "bacterial SSU rRNA". It matches the Rfam family "Bacterial small subunit ribosomal RNA", at positions 28 to 335 of the family's 1533-position model. The record is from RNAcentral.
GAUGAACGCUGGCGGCGUGCCUAACACAUGCAAGUCGAGCGAAGCGCCUUACUUGAUUUCUUCGGGAUGAAAGUAUUGUGACUGAGCGGGCGACGGGUGAAGGUACGCGUAGUAAGUAACCUGCUCAUACAGGGGGAUAACAGUUAGAAAUGACUGCUAAUACCGCAUAAGACCACAGCACCGCAUGGUGCAGGGGUAAAAACUCCGGUGGUAUGAGAUGGAUCCGCGUCUGAUUAGCUAGUUGGUAAGGUAACGGCUUACCAAGGCAACGAUCAGUAGCCGACCUGAGAGGGUGACCGGCCACAUUGGGACUGAGACACGGCCCAAA